This 253-nucleotide ribosomal RNA is filed under the name uncultured bacterium. Its description in RNAcentral is "partial 16S ribosomal RNA". It matches the Rfam family "Bacterial small subunit ribosomal RNA", at positions 524 to 776 of the family's 1533-position model. The record is from RNAcentral.
UACGUAGGGUGCGAGCGUUAAUCGGAAUUACUGGGCGUAAAGCGUGCGCAGGCGGUUUCACAAGCUAGAUGUGAAAGCCCCGGGCUUAACCUGGGAAUUGCAUUUAGGACUGUGGAGCUAGAGUGCGGCAGAGGGAGGUGGAAUUCCACGUGUAGCAGUGAAAUGCGUAGAGAUGUGGAGGAACACCGAUGGCGAAGGCAGCCUCCUGGGCCGACACUGACGCUCAUGCACGAAAGCGUGGGGAGCAAACAGG